Molecule: non-coding RNA, 73 nt
Filed under: human gut metagenome
Description: Cyclic di-GMP-I riboswitch
Rfam family: c-di-GMP-I riboswitch aptamer
About the family: GEMM was predicted in a large-scale screen for bacterial structured RNA regulatory elements. Genes associated with GEMM are involved in a diverse array of functions, including chemotaxis regulation, signal transduction, secretion and chitin.
Source: RNAcentral
UGUAAAAAGCAAAGCUGUUGCAAAGCAGUGACGCAAAGCUAUAGGGUCUUUUUCGAAGACAGCCAGCUGCCGU